Molecule: microRNA, 21 nt
Filed under: Eisenia fetida (common brandling worm)
Lineage: Eukaryota; Metazoa; Annelida; Clitellata; Crassiclitellata; Lumbricidae
Description: Efe-Mir-281-P7_5p (mature (co-guide))
Source: RNAcentral
AAGGGAGCACUUUAGGACAGU